GCUCUGUUUUUCUCGACUUUUGGCCCCUAUAUUGAGCGGGCCGGCUCGCCGGCUAUGGAAAUAAAUUGCCGUCGCAAUAAACCAUUCGGACCCGGGGGCAGUACCCGGCGCCUCCACCAAAGCCCCUCGCAAAAGGCGGGUUUCGGCGGGGGCGAACCAGGAUCGACGAGGGCGUAAAGGGCGUGUUUUUUCCCGGUAUGGUUCCGCCGUUAUCGGGCUAUGCAAUAGUUGCAAACGACAACUAUGCUCCGGUUGCUCAGGCCGCGUAAGCGGUUUGAAAAACCAAGUCUGAAGUCCUAGUGGGUUAAGCUCCGCUGGGCGGGGUCCGGAGGCACCUGGCAACAGAAGCCUCCACU
RNAcentral lists this transfer-messenger RNA (356 nucleotides) under Bradyrhizobium erythrophlei. RNAcentral's name for it is "Alphaproteobacteria transfer-messenger RNA". It matches the Rfam family "Alphaproteobacteria transfer-messenger RNA". Rfam says of the family: Bacterial tmRNA, also known as 10Sa RNA or SsrA, is named for its dual tRNA and mRNA-like properties. Its role is to liberate the mRNA from a stalled ribosome. To accomplish this part of the tmRNA is used as a reading frame that ends in a translation stop signal. Lineage: Bacteria; Pseudomonadati; Pseudomonadota; Alphaproteobacteria; Hyphomicrobiales; Nitrobacteraceae. The record is from RNAcentral.